RNAcentral lists this ribosomal RNA (1242 nucleotides) under metagenome. RNAcentral's name for it is "bacterial LSU rRNA". It matches the Rfam family "Bacterial large subunit ribosomal RNA", at positions 1564 to 2816 of the family's 2925-position model. The record is from RNAcentral.
UGAAUACGAGACGCUACGGCGUCGAAGCAGUCUAUGUCAUACUUCCAAGAAAAGCUUGCACUGUCAUAAACAAAUAAUGCCUGUACCAUAACCGACACAGGUGGGUAGGUAGAGUAUACUAAGGGGCGCGAGAUAACUCUCUCUAAGGAACUCGGCAAAAUGACUCCGUAACUUCGGGAGAAGGAGUGCCUUAUUUAUAAGGUUGCAAUAACAAGAUCCAAGCAACUGUUUAUCAAAAACACAGGUCUCCGCUAAGUCGUAAGACGAUGUAUGGGGGCUGACGCCUGCCCAGUGCCAGAAGGUUAAAGAAGUUGGUUAGCAUUAGCGAAGCUGAUAACUGAAGCCCUGGUGAACGGCGGCCGUAACAAUAACGGUCCUAAGGUAGCGAAAUUCCUUGUCGGGUAAGUUCCGACCCGCACGAAAGGCGUAAUGAUUUGGAUACUGUCUCAGAGAGGGGCUCGGUGAAAUAGACUUGUCUGUGAAGAUGCGGACUACCUGCACCAGGACAGAAAGACCCUAUGAAGCUUUACUGUAACUUGAAAUUGAAAUUGGACUUUAUUUGCGCAGUAUAGGUGGGAGGCAUUGAUAAUAUUCUUGCGGGAAUGUUGGAGCCAUCAGUGAGAUACCACUCUUGUAAUGUUAGAUCUCUAACUUUGGAUCAUUAUCUGGUCAAAGGACAGUUUCAGGCGGGCAGUUUGACUGGGGCGGUCGCCUCCUAAAUGGUGACGGAGGCGCACAAAGGUUUCCUCUGAACGGGUAGAAAUCGUAUCUAGAGUGUAAAGGCAUAAGGAAGCUUGACUGUGAGACCUACAAGUCGAGCAGGGACGAAAGUCGGUCUUAGUGAUCUGACGGUGCUGAGUGGAAAGGCCGUCACUCAACGGAUAAAAGUUACUCUAGGAUAACAGGCUGAUCUCCCCCAAGAGUUCACAUCGACGGGGAGGUUUGGCACCUCGAUGUCGGCUCAUCGCAUCCUGGGGCGGUAGUACGUCCCAAGGGUUGGGCUGUUCGCCCAUGAAAGCGGUACGCGAGCUGGGUUCAGAACGUCGUGAGACAGUUCGGUCCAUAUCCGGUGUAGGCGUUAGAAUAUUGAGAGGAGCCUUCUUUAGUACGAGAGGACCGAGAAGGACAUACCUCUGGUGUACCAGUUAUCGUGCCAACGGUAAACGCUGGGUAGCUAUGUAUGGAGAGGAUAACCGCUGAAAGCAUCUAAGUGGGAGGCCCACCUCAAGAUAAGUAUUCUCA